This is a small nucleolar RNA of Prosopis cineraria, 74 nucleotides long. RefSeq annotates it as small nucleolar RNA R160. Lineage: Eukaryota; Viridiplantae; Streptophyta; Magnoliopsida; Fabales; Fabaceae. The transcript has a single exon. The record is from RefSeq and is a predicted model, not a curated record.
AGCUAAAUGAUGAAAUCACUUAGAUCUGAAUUUGAUGUAGAUCUAAUGUAGGUCUUCAAAGUUCUCUGAUUGCU